This 627-nucleotide ribosomal RNA is filed under the name Parazoarcus communis. RNAcentral describes it as "bacterial SSU rRNA". It matches the Rfam family "Bacterial small subunit ribosomal RNA", at positions 872 to 1503 of the family's 1533-position model. Lineage: Bacteria; Pseudomonadati; Pseudomonadota; Betaproteobacteria; Rhodocyclales; Zoogloeaceae. The record is from RNAcentral.
CCUGGGGAGUACGGUCGCAAGAUUAAAACUCAAAGGAAUUGACGGGGACCCGCACAAGCGGUGGAUGAUGUGGAUUAAUUCGAUGCAACGCGAAAAACCUUACCUACCCUUGACAUGUCUGGAAUGCCGAAGAGAUUUGGCAGUGCUCGCAAGAGAACCGGAACACAGGUGCUGCAUGGCUGUCGUCAGCUCGUGUCGUGAGAUGUUGGGUUAAGUCCCGCAACGAGCGCAACCCUUGUCAUUAGUUGCUACGAAAGGGCACUCUAAUGAGACUGCCGGUGACAAACCGGAGGAAGGUGGGGAUGACGUCAAGUCCUCAUGGCCCUUAUGGGUAGGGCUUCACACGUCAUACAAUGGUCGGGACAGAGGGUCGCCAACCCGCGAGGGGGAGCCAAUCCCAGAAACCCGAUCGUAGUCCGGAUCGCAGUCUGCAACUCGACUGCGUGAAGUCGGAAUCGCUAGUAAUCGCGGAUCAGCAUGUCGCGGUGAAUACGUUCCCGGGUCUUGUACACACCGCCCGUCACACCAUGGGAGUGGGUUUUACCAGAAGUAGUUAGCCUAACCGCAAGGGGGGCGAUUACCACGGUAGGAUUCAUGACUGGGGUGAAGUCGUAACAAGGUAACCAA